RNAcentral lists this ribosomal RNA (253 nucleotides) under uncultured bacterium. Its description in RNAcentral is "partial 16S ribosomal RNA". It matches the Rfam family "Bacterial small subunit ribosomal RNA", at positions 524 to 776 of the family's 1533-position model. The record is from RNAcentral.
UACGAAGUGGGCUAGCGUUGCUCGGAAUCACUGGGCGUAAAGCGCACGUAGGCGGGUCUCUAAGUCAGGGGUGAAAUCCUGGAGCUCAACUCCAGAACUGCCUUUGAUACUGGGGAUCUCGAGUCCGGGAGAGGUGAGUGGAACUCCGAGUGUAGAGGUGAAAUUCGUAGAUAUUCGGAAGAACACCAGUGGCGAAGGCGGCUCACUGGCCCGGUACUGACGCUGAGGUGCGAAAGCGUGGGGAGCAAACAGG